RNAcentral lists this transfer RNA (92 nucleotides) under Clostridia bacterium. Its description in RNAcentral is "tRNA-Ser". It matches the Rfam family "tRNA". From Rfam's summary of the family: Transfer RNA (tRNA) molecules are approximately 80 nucleotides in length. Their secondary structure includes four short double-helical elements and three loops (D, anti-codon, and T loops). Lineage: Bacteria; Bacillati; Bacillota; Clostridia. The record is from RNAcentral.
GGAGAGAUGUCCGAGUUGGCUUAAGGAGCACGACUGGAAAUCGUGUGUAUACCAAAAGUGUACCGAGGGUUCGAAUCCCUCUCUCUCCGCCA